This 464-nucleotide ribosomal RNA is filed under the name uncultured bacterium. RNAcentral's name for it is "partial 16S ribosomal RNA". It matches the Rfam family "Bacterial small subunit ribosomal RNA", at positions 339 to 795 of the family's 1533-position model. The record is from RNAcentral.
CUACGGGUUGCAGCAGUGGGGAAUAUUGCACAAUGGGCGCAAGCCUGAUGCAGCCAUGCCACGUGUAUGAAGAUGGCCUUCGGGUUGUAAAGUACUUUCAGCGGGGAGGAAGGGAGUAAAGUUAAUACCUUUGCUCAUUGACGUUACCCGCAGAAGAAGCACCGGCUAACUCCGUGCCAGCAGCCGCGGUAAUACGGAGGGUGCAAGCGUUAAUCGGAAUUACUGGGCGUAAAGCGCACGCAAGCGGUUUGUUAAGUCAGAUGUGAAAUCCCCGGGCUCAACCUGGGAACUGCAUCUGAUACUGGCAAGCUUGAGUCUCGUGGAGGGGGGUAGAAUUCCAGGUGUAGCGGUGAAAUGCGUAGAGAUCUGGAGGAAUACCGGUGGCGAAGGCGGCCCCCUGGACGAAGACUGACGCUCAGGUGCGAAAGCGUGGGGAGCAAACAGGAUUAGAUACCCGGGUAGUC